CACACACAUGCACACAGGGGGCUGUUCAAGACUGACCGGGUGCUGGGGACAGCCCAGCUGAAGCUGGAUGCACUGGAGACAGCAUGUGAGGUCCGGGAGAUCCUUGAGGUCCUGGAUGGUCGCCGGCCCACAGGGGGGCGACUGGAGGUAAUGGUCCGGAUUCGGGAGCCACUGACAGCCCAGCAGUUGGAGACGACGACGGAGAGGUGGCUGGUCAUUGACCCUGUGCCGGCAGCUGUGCCCACAGUUGCUGGGCCCAAAGGGAAGGCCCCUCCUGUGCCUGCCCCUGCAAGGGAGUCAGGGAACAGAUCAGCCCGGCCCCUGCAUAGCCUCAGUGUGCUGGCGUUUGACCAAGAGCGUCUGGAGCGGAAGAUCCUGGCCCUCAGGCAGGCGCGGCGGCCGGUGCCCCCAGAAGUGGCCCAGCAGUACCAGGACAUCAUGCAACGCAGCCAGUGGCAGAGGGCACAGCUGGAGCAGGGGGGUGUGGGCAUCCG
RNAcentral lists this long non-coding RNA (494 nucleotides) under Pan troglodytes (chimpanzee). Its description in RNAcentral is "long non-coding RNA NONPTRT007996". The record is from RNAcentral. Lineage: Eukaryota; Metazoa; Chordata; Mammalia; Primates; Hominidae.